This 148-nucleotide non-coding RNA is filed under the name Chlorocebus sabaeus (green monkey). The record is from Rfam by way of RNAcentral. Lineage: Eukaryota; Metazoa; Chordata; Mammalia; Primates; Cercopithecidae.
GCUGGGUGUGGUGGCUCAUGCCUGUAGUCCCAGCUACUCGGGAGGCUGAGGCAGGAGAAUCGCUUGAACCCGGGAGGCGGAGGUUGCAGUGAGCUGAGAUUGUGCCACUGCACUCCAGCCUGGGUGACACAGCAAGAUCCUGUCUCAA